GAGGACAAGUCAGCUGAGAAAAGGAAAAAAGACAAGCAGGAAGACAGUUCAGAUGAUGAUGAAGCUGAAGAAGGAGAGGUUGAAGAUGAGAACUCAAGUGAUGUAGAGUUGGAUACGUUGUCUCAGGUAGAAGAGGAGUCUUUGUUAAGAAACGAUCUUCGUCCAGCUAACAAACUUGCUAAAGGAAAUAGGUUAUUCAUGAGAUUUGCUACAAAAGCCCCAGGUCUAGGAUCCAUCCAGGACUGAGUGUACUCAUUUUGCAUCUUACCUGCUCCACAUCUGGAAUCAGCCAUUUCUCCAAGGAGCUGGUGGGCAUGGUUUGAGGGGUUCGGGGGUUGGGGGCUAUACAUACUGGUUUGUGUUGUCACGUUUACCUACAGCCCUGGAUAUAUUUACAGUGGUGUUUGUUCUUUACAGUCAGAGUGUCCAAGAACUGUGGAAGGUCUUUGUAUUACUACUUUUGACAAAAAUUUAUGAUGACUGACCACCUUUCUUUCCUGUUAACUGACAUUUCAACUUGACAAAUGUGAUCUUUACCACAUUUACUCAUUUGAGUGGCUGAGUACAUUCUACAUGUAUAGUAUUAUGCUGUUUUCUUUAAGCCAUUUUGAGGAGCACAAUAAACUGGAAAAAUGAUUUACCAAA
RNAcentral lists this long non-coding RNA (645 nucleotides) under Homo sapiens (human). Its description in RNAcentral is "non-protein coding lnc-ITGAE-2:1". Lineage: Eukaryota; Metazoa; Chordata; Mammalia; Primates; Hominidae. The record is from RNAcentral.